GGAGACUCAAAGCAGAAGCUCAUUGAUGUGCUACGAGACUCAAACUGUAAACUGAGUGUUGAUAAAGAUUCAAGAUUCCCUCAGGGGAGGAAGUCGCUCAGAUGAGUCUGUCUGGCCCUUCAGUUUAUCUUUCUAUUAAACUCAUUCAUAAUGA
Molecule: long non-coding RNA, 154 nt
Organism: Carassius auratus (goldfish)
Lineage: Eukaryota; Metazoa; Chordata; Actinopteri; Cypriniformes; Cyprinidae
Exons: 2
Source: RefSeq, a predicted model, not a curated record